Molecule: long non-coding RNA, 1371 nt
Organism: Wyeomyia smithii (pitcher-plant mosquito)
Lineage: Eukaryota; Metazoa; Arthropoda; Insecta; Diptera; Culicidae
Exons: 2
Source: RefSeq, a predicted model, not a curated record
GAUUCGCAAGAGUAAACAGAUUUCAAAAAACGGAAAAAAUUUGUAAAAAAAUUCCUUCAUUUUUUAACUGUUGUGUAAUUAGACUACUGCGUCCAUUAGUUAGAACUUUUGUUACUUUCCCUCAUUAUGUGUGUGGAAAGAUAUUGUCAUUAGCAUUUUCCUAUUGAAGGUUUAUGUUUAAAGUAUUUUUGAAUUCCCUUUUUUUAUUUAAUCUAUAUUAUACAAAUAUGUAUUGUAAUCGGAUUCUAGUCGUCUUCUCAAAUCAUAAAGCUCUCAGUCACCAAGUGCAUCUGUUUCCGAGAUAUUACAAACCAAAGUUGAAAAAAUGGAAUUAUUCACGAAAAUACACAUUUGAAGCCUCUGGGGAGGAAGAGGGGUGGAACCUUAAAGCCAUGUUUGUGUCGCCAAUACAAACUUGGUGUCUAUUUCCAUCAUAGAACAUAUUUAGAUUAUGUGUUCCACUACAAAGGAGAGCGGUCCAAUUAGAACCGUACAUGUUCAUAAAUACGCCACUAAAUUUCAGGAAGUUUCCGUUACUCAAUCGAUCUCAAGCUACCACAAUCGAACGCCGUCGUUCUGCACUCAUUUUACUAGUUUGAACAAUAGUUGAUUAGAGCAUCAUUCGCAUAAGAGAUUAAACGAUUGCAAAUAUACAAAACACCUCAUUCAUACUUCCGAGCACCAGAAAGGUAGCCAAUUUGCAGCCACCAUUGAUUGGUGGAACUGCGCAAAUUGGCGUAGUUCGCGAUGCUUAUCAGCGCAGAGACGGUAUCAAGGUGCUCAAUUGUACCAUUCGCAGUCAAUGUACUUCGCAUUUGCUGCACUAUGCAGGACCCACGAGAGCACUGAACCAACGUUCAGCCUGCUCUGAUGCGUGGUGCUGCCAAUUGCACACGGCACUAGUCGCAACUGUUGGUGGUGGUGUGGAAUAGCGACCGAGCCUCAAGCUUUCUGCACUCUCUUCGCGUUCAAUCAAACUGCACUCGAAAUUACCUAUAAAAGUGUUUCUGCGCGGUACGGACAGCAUCAUUCGGAAGUUGAAGUGUUUGAGUUUGUGUGAGCAAAUCACUAUAGCAAACCAGCUGUAGAACCGAUUAGUAUCCCGAAAUCAGUGAAGGUAUCGUCAGAGCAAAAAUGCCGUGCAAAUGCUGUGGUAAAGAUUGCAAGUGCACAACCUGCUGUGGAACUCCGGACAAACCGUGUAUGACAGGAUGCCAGUGUCAGUGCGCCUGUAAGACGGAUAAGAGAUGCGAUCAGCCGGCGGGUUGCUGCAAGAAGUGAUUUGUUUUAAGAAUAGCGGAUAAGUUAUAGCGUAGGUCAUAGGCGAAGGUCAUGUUGAUGGUGAAUAAAUUAUCAGUUCAAUGAUAAAAA